CUUCGUCCCACAUGGCAUCUGAUCACGGCGCUUCCUUCCAGGACCGUGAUCCUUCGCUGCAAUAGUCCCGGGCCUCUCUACGCCGUCUGCCGCCCUCCAACAGAUGAAGCCCUCCUCACCACCACCUCGUCAUCGCUUUGGCACCGCCGCCUCGGACAUACCGGCCAUCACACCAUGUCACGCCUUCAACGGUCCAAGUUUAUCUCAUACAAUAAAGAUGGGUCGUCCCUUUGUCACGCGUGUCAGUUAAGAAAACAUGUUAGGCUUCCGUUUUAUAAUUCUACAAAAUAUACAGUUCGUCCAUUUCAGCUUUUACAUUGUGAUCUUUGGACGUCCCCCGUCCCUAGCAACUCU
Molecule: ribosomal RNA, 354 nt
Filed under: Triticum aestivum (bread wheat)
Lineage: Eukaryota; Viridiplantae; Streptophyta; Magnoliopsida; Poales; Poaceae
Description: partial small subunit ribosomal RNA
Source: RNAcentral